This 217-nucleotide unclassified non-coding RNA is filed under the name plant metagenome. RNAcentral's name for it is "partial contains small subunit ribosomal RNA and internal transcribed spacer 1". The stretch from base 1 to 46 matches the Rfam family "Eukaryotic small subunit ribosomal RNA", at positions 1786 to 1831 of the family's 1831-position model. The record is from RNAcentral.
AAGUCGUAACAAGGUUUCCGUAGGUGAACCUGCGGAAGGAUCAUUAUUGAAUCCAAAGGGAUGUUGCUGGCUGUCCAGGCCGUGCACUCCUGCCUUUAUAUCCACCUGUGCACUUACUGUAGACUAGGAUUGAUUUCCGAGUCUAUGUCUUCAUAUACCCUUUAUUAUUAAAGUCAAUGGGAUGUAUUUAGGCUUCGGCCAAAAAAAUCAAUACAAA